Molecule: ribosomal RNA, 468 nt
Filed under: uncultured bacterium
Lineage: Bacteria
Description: partial 16S ribosomal RNA
Rfam family: Bacterial small subunit ribosomal RNA
Source: RNAcentral
GACGAACGCUGGCGGCGUGCUUAACACAUGCAAGUCGAACGGAAAGGCCCUGCUUUUGUGGGGUGCUCGAUUGGCGAACGGGUGAGUAACACGUGAGUAACCUGCACUUGACUUUGGGAUAACUUCAGGAAACAGGGGCGAAUACAGGAUAGGAGCUCCUGCAGCAUGGGGGGGGUUGGAAAGUGACGGCGGUUUGGGAUGGACUCGCGGCUUAUCAGCUUGUUGGGGGGGUAGGGGCUUACCAAGGCUUUGACGGGUAGCCGGCCUUGGAGGGUGACCGGCCACCUUGGUCCUGCGAUACGCCCCAGACUCCUACGGGCGGCAGCGGUGGGAAAUAUUACGCAAUGGGCGGACGCCUGAUGCGGCAACGCCGCGUGCGUGAUGACGGCCUUCGGGUUGUAAACCGCUUUCGCCUUUACCGAAGCGUGAGUGACGGUAAUGGGUCAAAAAGCACCGGCUAACUACGUG